UACUAUAGGCCAUGCUAUCCUGAACAAGCCCGAUCCCGUCUGAUCUCGGAAGCUAAGCAGGGUCGGGCCUGGUUAGCACUUGGAAGCCAAGUGCUGUAGGCG
RNAcentral lists this ribosomal RNA (102 nucleotides) under Pteropus alecto (black flying fox). The record is from RNAcentral. Lineage: Eukaryota; Metazoa; Chordata; Mammalia; Chiroptera; Pteropodidae.